Molecule: long non-coding RNA, 4399 nt
Organism: Astatotilapia calliptera (eastern happy)
Lineage: Eukaryota; Metazoa; Chordata; Actinopteri; Cichliformes; Cichlidae
Source: Ensembl
AAUACAUUGACCGCGCCUUCUUUCCCUCCGUCUCCAUGGUGACUCACUUAAUCUGUGCUCCACUGAUCAGGGCUUUAUGUAUCCUCGUCCGCGCGCUUCACUUGGGGUUAAAGCAACUCCGCGUUGACUGAACUAAUUGUUAUCAGCCUUUCUGAAACCGAAUAUUCCGAGUUGGACAGUUCGGGGUUACUCAACCCUGCGUAUCGUUUUUCACUCUGAGUUUUCUAAACCGGCUUCCUGAAACAGGGCCCUGGUGGAGCCAGUUUUUAAGACAGGGAUCCAGGUUUGGUGAGUUGACGCAUGAGAAGUGUCCAUGCGUCAAGAGAUGUCGUGAGGUGCCAUGAUGAGAAGGAGAGACUGAGAGGAUCGUCCACAAGAUGGAAGCUGAGGCCUGGAGGGAGUCUUCAGGAGGAUCGGAGAUCACCUUCAGCACAGAGAGCUGUGCUACUGGGCUUCCAAAGGAUUGUCACAAGGAGACUUUCAGCGUUGGAAAAUGGAACCUGAGGGAGCGUGCCAAGCUCCAAAAAGUGACAGCGCAGAGGAGGUCCAGCGAUGGACUUGUGGUUCUGUGAACAGCACAAAUGCCAGGAGCAGAGCCUGAAGUCUGGAGAUUGGAUGAUGAUAAGGCCAUGGAGAGGAAGUGCUGGUCCAGUCCAUGGUGGGAAGGUCCAUAUCGGAUGCUGCUGACGACGACCACAGUAGUGAAGAUUGCUGGAAGGAACACUUGGAUACAUCAAGCGCACUGCAAGAAGGUGACACACAUCCAGGCCAGCUCGGAGUAAGUGGCAGGAAGACCGGGAACAAAGGGGGGGAAAGCCUCCAGGGCCCCUCGUCUCAAUCCGGUGAAGAAACCAACUGAGCCACAGGUACUCAUCAGAAUGGCUGGGAAUGUGCUGUGCAUCUUCUUGUGCCUGUGGACCCUGAGUGGGAUGACAGGAGCGCAUUGGGACAGAGCAAAUCACACCCAGUACCCGCAUGGGUUUUCAACCAACUACUGGUGGCAGUUUAAGAACACAACCGGAUAGCAUCACUUGGAGCGAGACAGUUUGUUUGGUUGCUUUAGCAACACAUCCAGGAACACUGCCAACUUUUCAACUUUCCAAUUCCUCAUAACCUGAAUGGAAGGUUGAUUCACCAGUAGCUGGGAAGGUGAACUGCUCUGGUGAGACAGACCUGCUCGUCUGACUCAAAGAAUAUGACUUGUUGCAGGACAUUAUACAGUUAAACGAACUGGAAACAGGCCAAUUGCCUAUGUGUACGAAGGACAAUGGAUUAGCCCAAGUUGGAGAUUAACCAUGGAACAUGGUAACAUCACUUAUUCUUUUGUCUUCUGCAAGAAGGAUGUAAACAGAGAAGCCUUUUGUCUACAUUUACAUCAUGAACACUUGAGGUUUUGAGCCAAGAAGAUCAAAACAGCUGGAUCCAAUUUCCUUUACAAAGCUUUUUCUGUGGUGACAACAGGACAGGAGAAGAGUUGUAAAUGCAGAUAAUUCACAAGUUGACUCUAACCCCCACAGGAUGCCUACAGUGAGAAGAUUUGGGGGGUUGAUAGGAGUCAUAAAGAAGGGUGUUGACCAGGCUGCAGCUUUGAAGUUAGCUGAGAGCCACAUGGACAAACAAUAAAGUCAACUGAUGCGUUUAAAUACCUAUGUCUGUAUACAGGUGGAUUGUAGUGACAUAUGAUUUUUGAGAAUGAUGAUUCUUCUUGUUUGACCUUUGACAUUCAGUUGUUUACUUGAAGAAAUACAUAAUGAAUUGCACGACAGGAGUAGAUCCGCCACAAGGCUGGAUAGCUUGGUUACUGUCUGGUCCUUGGUGGCAUCUUCUUUUGAAGAUAUUAAUUCCUGUUUUUGAACUGUUGAUACUGAUUUGCUUAUGUAUAGGAUGUAGUUUACUGUGCAUGAAUGAAAUCUACACUGACACUGUCUAAACAAAGGGUGCAUAAGUUGAAAUUUAAGAACAAUGACAAAAAGGAGGGAAAUGUUAAGUCUAAUUGUUGAAUGUUGCCAUUGUGUUUCUUAAAUUUGUACAGUCUUAGUUUAAGCAGUAGGAUCAAAGCCAUUCCUUUGAUCCUGACCACCUCUCCAGCCACUCUGUGCUGGGGGAGGUUUUAUUGUAGAUACAUCCUAACUUGAAGAUCUGUUUGAUGUUUGGUAGAGCUUCCUACCCUUUGUAUGGUUUCACUGUGUUAUCUUUGGUAAACCAUACAUUGGGUGUGGGGGAAGACUACCCUCUUUAUGACCAAGGAUGUUGUUCCUGCUUUUAGGUUUUAUGACCCUUUGAUCAAACACACACACACACACACACACACACACACAUUCUCACAUAACACCCACACACACACACUUACAUACAGUGCCUUGUCUUUGUAACCAAAGGGGGUUGCAAGGGGAGGUGUUUUGUAAACUAUUGUUUGAAGUUUGUCAAUAAAAGGCGGCGAGAGGAGGCCACCAGCGUGGUCAUUUCAACGUGCUGGUCACAGACGAGAGGCCUCCCUUGCGCAAGAAAUCGAUCGAACACUGUUGCCUUGCUUUUCUUUCAUGGGAAUAAGUCCUGGAUACAGCGGGGUCUGAGUUUAGACCCAACAGUUUUCUUUUGUUUUUUUUAAGGAAAUCUAAAAAAUUAAAACCAGAAUAAAUAUCAGUCUGUCAUCAACCUUUUCUUCCAUUUUUCUGAAUGAUUCACAGAUGUGUUAAAGCAUAGCAUGCCCACCCUCUUAUGGUUACUUACAGUAUAAACAGCAUCACAUAAGUCAGUGAUUCUUAACCAUGGGGCUGCGAGCCACACCUUAAGAGCCGCAAAAUACUUUUGGUUAUUGUUCCCUGUCCAUGACAAUCUCAGUCUCAAUACAGCUUCACACCAUUUGGUGGGAGUUGUUUAAACAGCCUCAAAAAGCAAGAAGAAGAAGACAGUCUGCCUGCUGUUUGCAGUUAGCAAAAUAUAUGGAGAAGUUCUUAAAAUGCAAAAAGGAAGAUAAAGGUGACAACCCCCUCCCAAAAGUCUUUUGACUUUUGGGAGGGGGUUGUACUUUUGUGCAAGUACAGCUUUGACUUCCUGAAGCAUGCGGUUUGUGAACAGAGGAAAUGAGGCGGACCCGAGAGCCCAAUGUGUGGAGUAAUGCUAUACAUUGAAGCACUGAAUUGAUUUGGCCUGCCACUGUAUAUAUGUGCCAUGAGAUCAUCGGAGGGGCUGCUGCAAAGAACACUCAAACGACACUGCGAGCCACCGUAUCAUGGACAUGACCUUAGACAUACAGCAUCAGCUUCUAGAAAGAAUAAAAAUACUAUCUUUGUCUCUUUACAACUAGAUCAGUCCCUUUUUUCUCUUUCGUUGUAGUAAAAUUGAAUUAUUAAUUAUUUUUGUGUUAUUAACCUUGACUUGAGCCUUUCAAUUUCUACUUGCAGUUUGAUUUGUUUCAUGAAUUGUUGACCUGUUUGGCAUUUUGUUUUAUUUCCAGGUUCACAUACAUGUAAUAAAUAAAUGUCUUAUUACAUUGUAUAAUGUCGUCAUCAUCAUGUUUAUUUGGCAAGGUUUUAGCUUUUAAGAUCAGGUGGAAUUGAUUUAUUUAUUAAAUAUAAAUCAAACCAAAAGCAAAAUUAAUUUAUUCAAUACAGUGUUAAUAUGUGAAUGGGCCCUGGUCCACUUUGUAGUGAAAACGUCAGGCCCUGAGAUAAAAACAAAACAAAAAAAACAAAAUGUAAGAACCCCUGACAUAAGUGAUAAUGGCUAAUUUAAGCAAAAAGCGUCUUCCUCGUUUUCCACAGUAACAAGGUGGACAUAGUAAUGAGCAGGUCGAUCAUUGAUGUGAUAGGCCCAUUUUGUGUGUAUUUUUAAUUUAUUCAAAGUAUGAGAGGUGGUGGAUUUGAUCUAGAAAACCUGUUUAGUUUGAAAUAUUAGUGAGGACUCACUUGACCGUAGUCUUACAACCGACUGCCCACGGCUGUUGCAUUUGACAGAGUAAUGCGGCUGCUUCACUUAGGCUACUAGCAGGUUAUUGAGUAGACAUCUGUGUAGCGGUUUGAAAUGUACCACUUUUUCCUUGUCAGGAAAUAACUUCCUGUUCAUCUGAAAUGGCUUGGUUUUCAGUGGAGAGUGUUUCAGUAAUAAUAUUCUUUAUGGCACCUCAUAGCAUUUUUGACCCAUGACAGAGAUGUAUUAAAAUAAAAUGAAAAAAAAAAUGUAAUUUCAAAUCAAACUUAACUUGAACAAUAAACUUAUUGCCAUACAUUUUACAUUUGGUAAGUGGUCAGUAAGAAUGCGAUACAUUGCUCAUUUUGUAUAUCAGUUUGUUCAUUUUGCUCAUUUUGUUAUAAUGGUUCCUAAUUCCUGCUAAACACUUUCACUCUGACAGAAGCUAGAAUACUCUCUGACAUGAAAGUCAUAAUGAACAAAGUCAAGC